AUGCAAGAAAACAUACAGCCUGGAGCUAGUCUGGUGAUUACCGAUUCCUACAAAGUUCGAAGGUAUUCAUUCAGGUGUCGGUUUGUAUUAGUUGAGCGCGGAUCUAAGGAUUCAGUGUCGAUGGAAGUGUUGAGUUAUUAUUGUACAAAUUUUGAAGGUGAAGGUUUUCUUGGUGAACAUGGAGUAUGCGGUUUUGAUAGUGAAGGUUUUAAGGUUCAUUGA
Vicia faba (fava bean) is the source of this 222-nucleotide non-coding RNA. The record is from the annotation of a GenBank genome assembly. NCBI's taxonomy places the organism in Eukaryota, Viridiplantae, Streptophyta, Magnoliopsida, Fabales, Fabaceae.